RNAcentral lists this ribosomal RNA (252 nucleotides) under uncultured bacterium. RNAcentral describes it as "partial 16S ribosomal RNA". It matches the Rfam family "Bacterial small subunit ribosomal RNA", at positions 524 to 776 of the family's 1533-position model. The record is from RNAcentral.
CACGUAGGGUGCGAGCGUUGUCCGGAUUUAUUGGGCGUAAAGAGCUCGUAGGCGGUUUGUCGCGUCUGCUGUGAAAACCCGAGGCUCAACCUCGGGCCUGCAGUGGGUACGGGCAGACUAGAGUGCGGUAGGGGAGAUUGGAAUUCCUGGUGUAGCGGUGGAAUGCGCAGAUAUCAGGAGGAACACCGAUGGCGAAGGCAGAUCUCUGGGCCGUAACUGACGCUGAGGAGCGAAAGCGUGGGAGCGAACAGG